ACGCACGCUGGCGGCAUGCCUCACCCCUGCAAGUCGCACGAGACCUUCGGGUCUAGUGGCGCACGGGUGCGUAGCGCGUGGGAACCUGCCCUUAGGUUCGGAAUAACUCCCCGAAAGGGGUGCUAAUACCGGAUAAUGUCUUCGGACCAAAGAUUUAUCGCCUUUGGAUGGGCCCGCGUUGGAUUAGCUAGUUGGUAGGGUAAAAGCCUACCAAGGCGACGAUCCAUAGCUGGUCUGAGAGGAUGAUCAGCCACACUGGGACUGAGACACGGCCCAGACUCCUACGGGAGGCAGCAGUGGGGAAUAUUGGACAAUGGGCGAAAGCCUGAUCCAGCAAUGCCGCGUGAGUGAUGAAGGCCUUAGGGUUGUAAAGCUCUUUUACCCGGGAUGAUAAUGACAGUACCGGGAGAAUAAGCUCCGGCUAACUCCGUG
Molecule: ribosomal RNA, 432 nt
Filed under: uncultured bacterium
Lineage: Bacteria
Description: partial 16S ribosomal RNA
Rfam family: Bacterial small subunit ribosomal RNA
Source: RNAcentral